RNAcentral lists this ribosomal RNA (280 nucleotides) under uncultured bacterium. RNAcentral's name for it is "partial 16S ribosomal RNA". It matches the Rfam family "Archaeal small subunit ribosomal RNA", at positions 456 to 735 of the family's 1478-position model. The record is from RNAcentral.
UGCCAGCCGCCGCGGUAACACCAGCGCCACAAGUGGCAAUCGCGAUUAUUGGGCCUAAAGCGUUCGUAGCCGGCUUGGUAAAUCCUUUGUGAAAUCGUAUCGCUUAACGGUACGGCGUGCAGGGGACACUACCAAGCUCGAGACCGGGAGGGGUUAGAGGUAUUCGUAGGGGACUGGUAAAAUGGUAUAAUCCUACGAGGACCACCGAUGGCGAAGGCAUCUAACCAGAACGGAUCUGACGGUGAGGAACGAAAGCCAGGGGAGCGAACCGGAUUAGAUA